UAGGGAAUAUUAGAAAUGGACGAAAGUCUGAUCUAGCAACACCGCGUGUGCGAAGAAGGCCUUCGGGUCGUAAAGCACUUUUUGGAAGGAAUAGGAAGGAAUGUACUUCCAGAAUAAGUCUCGGCUAACUACGUGCCAGCAGCCGCGGUAACACGUAGGAGGCAAACGUUAUCCGGAUUUACUGGGCGUAAAGCGCGUGUAGGUGGUACUGUAAGUAGGGCGUGAAAGCUCCCGGCUCAACUGGGAGAGGCCGUUCUAAACUGCAGAACUAGAGGAUGGUAGAGGGAGGUGGAAUUCCAGGUGUAGCGGUGGAAUGCGCAGAUAUCUGGAGGAACACCAGUGGCGAAGGCGGCCUCCUGGACCAUUCCUGACACUCAGACGCGAAAGCUAGGGUAGCAAACGG
This 403-nucleotide ribosomal RNA is filed under the name uncultured bacterium. RNAcentral's name for it is "bacterial SSU rRNA". It matches the Rfam family "Bacterial small subunit ribosomal RNA", at positions 355 to 775 of the family's 1533-position model. The record is from RNAcentral.